UCUCCGUUGGUGAACCAGCGGAGGGAUCAUUACCAGAGGUUUACAACUCCCAACCCCUCUGUGAACCUACCUAUCGUUGCUUCGGCGGACUCGCCCCAGCGUCCGGACGGCCCCGCGCCGGCCCCCGACCCUUACUCAGUCCGCCGCCCGAGACCACACAAUCCUAUUACCAUCAGUCUUUCUACAACCGCCGCAAGGGUUAACACACCAAUCAAAACUUUCAACAAUCGAUCUCUUGGUCCUCGCAUCUCCGAUGAACGAAGCAGAUCGGAAGAGCAC
Molecule: unclassified non-coding RNA, 279 nt
Filed under: plant metagenome
Description: partial contains small subunit ribosomal RNA, internal transcribed spacer 1, and 5.8S ribosomal RNA
Source: RNAcentral